UACGUAGGGAGCAAGCGUUGUCCGGAUUCACUGGGUUUAAAGGGUGCGUAGGUGGGCAAGCAAGUCAGUGGUGAAAUCUCCGGGCUUAACCCGGAAACUGCCAUUGAUACUAUUUGUCUUGAAUACUGUGGAGGUCAGCGGAAUAUGUCAUGUAGCGGUGAAAUGCUUAGAUAUGACAUAGAACACCAAUUGCGAAGGCAGCUGGCUACACAAAUAUUGACACUGAGGCACGAAAGCGUGGGGAUCAAACAGG
RNAcentral lists this ribosomal RNA (253 nucleotides) under uncultured bacterium. Its description in RNAcentral is "partial 16S ribosomal RNA". It matches the Rfam family "Bacterial small subunit ribosomal RNA", at positions 524 to 776 of the family's 1533-position model. The record is from RNAcentral.